CCUUCGAUAGCACAGUUGGUAGAGCGGGGGACUGUAGAUUUAUAAUUGGGAUCCCUAGGUCGCUGGUUCGAAUCCGGCUCGAAGGA
Molecule: non-coding RNA, 86 nt
Organism: Nematostella vectensis (starlet sea anemone)
Lineage: Eukaryota; Metazoa; Cnidaria; Anthozoa; Actiniaria; Edwardsiidae
Source: Rfam